Molecule: unclassified non-coding RNA, 222 nt
Filed under: air metagenome
Description: partial contains small subunit ribosomal RNA, internal transcribed spacer 1, and 5.8S ribosomal RNA
Rfam family: Eukaryotic small subunit ribosomal RNA (bases 1-48)
Source: RNAcentral
AAAAGUCGUAACAAGGUUUCCGUAGGUGAACCUGCGGAAGGAUCAUUACAGAGUUCAUGCCCGAAAGGGUAGACCUCCCACCCUUGUGUAUUAUUACUUUGUUGCUUUGGCGAGCUGCCUUCGGGCCUUGUAUGCUCGCCAGAGAAUACCAAAACUCUUUUUAUUAAUGUCGUCUGAGUACUAUAUAAUAGUUAAAACUUUCAACAACGGAUCUCUUGGUUC